This 215-nucleotide unclassified non-coding RNA is filed under the name fungal sp. Its description in RNAcentral is "partial internal transcribed spacer region". The stretch from base 1 to 46 matches the Rfam family "Eukaryotic small subunit ribosomal RNA", at positions 1786 to 1831 of the family's 1831-position model. Lineage: Eukaryota; Fungi. The record is from RNAcentral.
AAGUCGUAACAAGGUUUCCGUAGGUGAACCUGCGGAAGGAUCAUUAACGCGAUAGUGCUUCGUGCGCUAGCCGUCCUUGUGUUGUGUUGACGUUUGCAUGCCAGCGGCCACGGCUGCGGGCACAUGCAUUUUUACCCAUUACACUGUUAUUCUGAUCACACGCUCGCAAGAGCACAAACAACCGAAAACUGCCAGCAACGGAUCACUCGGUUCUC